AAAUUGAAGAGUUUGAUCAUGGCUCAGAUUGAACGCUGGCGGCAGGCCUAACACAUGCAAGUCGAACGGUAGCACAGAGGAGCUUGCUCCUUGGGUGACGAGUGGCGGACGGGUGAGUAAUGUCUGGGAAACUGCCCGAUGGAGGGGGAUAACUACUGGAAACGGUAGCUAAUACCGCAUAACGUCGCAAGACCAAAGAGGGGGA
Molecule: ribosomal RNA, 205 nt
Filed under: Citrobacter freundii
Lineage: Bacteria; Pseudomonadati; Pseudomonadota; Gammaproteobacteria; Enterobacterales; Enterobacteriaceae
Description: partial 16S ribosomal RNA
Rfam family: Bacterial small subunit ribosomal RNA
Source: RNAcentral